Solanum lycopersicum (tomato) is the source of this 1629-nucleotide long non-coding RNA. RefSeq lists it as uncharacterized. NCBI's taxonomy places the organism in Eukaryota, Viridiplantae, Streptophyta, Magnoliopsida, Solanales, Solanaceae. The record is from RefSeq and is a predicted model, not a curated record.
CCUAAUUCAGUUGUACUAAUUGUGAAAGAAAACCCCCCAAGAAAAUCCUCUUCUUUCUCCUAACCCACCUUCAGGUUGCAAUUAUGGCGAUAAAAUAAAAUCCAUCUUCUUAAUCUUACAUAAUUAACACUUAAUAUUUACUCAAUUUGAAAUUCUUUUGCUUUAUACAAGAGAUUUGAGAGUUUUGUUUGAGUACUGUAGAUUAGACACACUGCAAGAGAGUGGAGGUGAAAUUUUAAAAAAUUUGAAGACGUAUGCAAUUUUGCUUUGAAACGAUCAAAAAACUUUGGUAAAGAAGAUUUUUUUUGUGAUUGAGAUUUGGACAUGGAAGAGAGUUACCGUCCUUAGACCUCAUAUUGUAGCACAAAGAGAUACAAAGAAUAUUUUCCCUGUUGGUUUAACUAGGGUCCACAUGCUACUAGAUGGUUUGCACAUUUUAGUUGGACCGACACCACAAAACACGUGUUAAGAGUUUUCAGGGAUGCACUUGAUUCCAUGAUAGAAGCUCAGGUAAGAUGUUGUAUUAGUUUUCUCUUGACAUUCAUAUAUAUUGUAAUUGUGAACACUUUUUUGUUAUAGUUUAUUUGGGAACCAUAUUCUGACAUAAUUGAGUCUUCCCGAAUAUUGCCGCAUUGGAGGAGAUAUAUGGCGUGAUAGAAUUCUAAUUUUUGGUUUUGAUUUUUUUGAGGUUCACUUACCCAAUCGAGUUAUGAGGCAAUUUGGAUUGUUACAAGCGAUAUCAUCUUCAUUUCUAUUUGACGCUAUGUAUUUUCACUACGAUCACUGAGGAAGGCCAAACACAGAUUGGGAGUUAGAGCAUGCAUAAUGGUUGCACUUUUGAAUUCAUAUUGCAAUAUGUAUGGAGUGCACCAAUCUUUCAUGGAUCACUUCAGUAUGAUGAUCCCUACCUUAUUUGGUGUAGACGUAUUACUCGUUUUAUAAUUGGUAAUCCUAUUUCGAGUCCUCAAUAACAACAAGGCUACGUUCCUAAUGCGAUGGCAUACGAAACAAUGGUUUUGUGCAAUAAUGCAGGAUGAAAGAAUCUAAUUGUUUGUCAUAUGUGUAAGAGGCAGAUAGAAUUCAUGUGCAAGCCAAUUAUAGAAGAGACGAGCUAAUGUCUGACCAUUUUCAUUCCCCUAUUCGCCAUCGAGGAAAAGGUGGUGUUGGGGUAGGAAGGUACGUGCUAUUGAGAGAGGUCGAGAGCCUAUUGAAAUGAGUGAAGAUGAUCAAGUCACACAAGAUUUCCAAGCAGCCUCGGAUUAUGAACUAACAAACACUGAGACUGUGAUAUAUAUUACACCACAGACUCCACAAAUAUAAAGGAAUCCAAGUCUUUGAUCACUUGAAAAUGUAUUUGGUAAUAAUCAACCUCAACAUUUUGACAACGUCCCAAACUUUCUCAUUGCCUGUAGAAGGUAAUGAGUUGAAUGAUUCUAACAAUGAAGUAGAUGGUGAUGAUUUGAGGAUGCAAAUCAAGGUGCAAGCCAAAGUGGUGGACCAUCAGUGAAGAAGUAGUGUACAAUUUUUUCUAAGCUUUGUGGGACCGGUACUUUAAAAUCUUUACAUUAUUCUUUGACAUAAGUGUUCCUUUUUAGUUGAAUAAUUGAAAAUUGUCUUAAUUUUCAAGGA